AUUGAACGCUGGCGGCAGGCUUAACACAUGCAAGUCGAGCGGGGUGAUGGUGCUUGCACUAUCACUUAGCGGCGGACGGGUGAGUAAUGCUUAGGAAUCUGCCUAUUAGUGGGGGACAACAUCUCGAAAGGGAUGCUAAUAACGCAUACGUCCUACGGGAGAAAGCAGGGGAUCACUUGUGACCUUGCGCUAAUAGAUGAGCCUAAGUCGGAUUAGCUAGUUGGUGGGGUAAAGGCCGACCAAGGCGACGAUCUGUAGCGGGUCUGAGAGGAUGAUCCGCCACACUGGGACUGAGACACGGCCCAGACUCCUACGGGAGGCAGCAGUGGGGAAUAUUGGACAAUGGGGGGAACCCUGAUCCAGCCAUGCCGCGUGUGUGAAGAAGGCCUUAUGGUUGUAAAGCACUUUAAGCGAGGAGGAGGCUCUUUUGGUUAAUACCCAAGAUGAGUGGACGUUACUCGCAGAAUAAGCACCGGCUAACUCUGUGCCAGCAGCCGCCGUAA
Molecule: ribosomal RNA, 503 nt
Filed under: uncultured bacterium
Lineage: Bacteria
Description: partial 16S ribosomal RNA
Rfam family: Bacterial small subunit ribosomal RNA
Source: RNAcentral